This 229-nucleotide ribosomal RNA is filed under the name uncultured bacterium. Its description in RNAcentral is "partial 16S ribosomal RNA". It matches the Rfam family "Bacterial small subunit ribosomal RNA", at positions 118 to 347 of the family's 1533-position model. The record is from RNAcentral.
UAGGCAACCUGCCCCAGACACAGGGAUAACCCCGGGAAACCGGGGCUAAUACCGGAUACUCCGGUCGAGCCGCAUGACUCGAUCGGGAAAGCUCCGACGGUCUGGGAUGGGCCCGCGGCCUAUCAGCUUGUUGGUGGGGUAACGGCCUACCAAGGCGACGACGGGUAGCUGGUCUGAGAGGACGACCAGCCACACUGGAACUGAGAUACGGUCCAGACUCCUACGGGAG